UCCGAGUUAGUAUAUCGGCUAGUAUGACCGCCUUUCAUGUCUCAUGAGCGCGGUAGAGACGGGUUCGAUUCCCGUACUCGGAA
Molecule: transfer RNA, 83 nt
Filed under: Puccinia coronata f. sp. avenae
Lineage: Eukaryota; Fungi; Basidiomycota; Pucciniomycetes; Pucciniales; Pucciniaceae
Description: Puccinia coronata var. avenae f. sp. avenae partial tRNA-Glu
Rfam family: tRNA
About the family: Transfer RNA (tRNA) molecules are approximately 80 nucleotides in length. Their secondary structure includes four short double-helical elements and three loops (D, anti-codon, and T loops).
Source: RNAcentral